This 71-nucleotide transfer RNA is filed under the name Candidatus Pacearchaeota archaeon CG1_02_30_18. RNAcentral describes it as "tRNA-His". It matches the Rfam family "tRNA". From Rfam's summary of the family: Transfer RNA (tRNA) molecules are approximately 80 nucleotides in length. Their secondary structure includes four short double-helical elements and three loops (D, anti-codon, and T loops). Further hydrogen bonds mediate the characteristic L-shaped molecular structure. tRNAs have two regions of fundamental functional importance: the anti-codon, which is responsible for specific mRNA codon recognition, and the 3' end, to which the tRNAs corresponding amino acid is attached (by aminoacyl-tRNA synthetases). tRNAs cope with the degeneracy of the genetic code in two manners: having more than one tRNA (with a specific anti-codon) for a particular amino acid; and 'wobble' base-pairing, i.e. permitting non-standard base-pairing at the 3rd anti-codon position. The record is from RNAcentral. Lineage: Archaea; Nanobdellati. RNAcentral also lists the same sequence under 6 other names.
GUGGAUGUAGUUUAAUGGUAGAAUGCACGGUUGUGGUCCGUGAGAAGCGAGUUCGAUUCUCGCUUUCCACC